RNAcentral lists this unclassified non-coding RNA (227 nucleotides) under uncultured Thanatephorus. RNAcentral's name for it is "sequence contains ITS2". Lineage: Eukaryota; Fungi; Basidiomycota; Agaricomycetes; Cantharellales; Ceratobasidiaceae. The record is from RNAcentral.
AAUUAUCAAAGCAAAUAUUUUCGUUAAUUCGACUGCCUUUGCUUUGGACUUGGGGGCCUGCGGAUUUCACAGUCCGCUCCUCUUAAAUGCAUUAGCUGGAUUCUCGGUGAGCUCGGUUCCACUCGGCGUGAUAAGUAUCACUCGCUGAGGACACCCGUUAAAAAAGGUGGCCAGGCUUGCAGAUGAACCGCUUCCAACGGUCUAUUGACUUGGACAAUGAAUUUACG